This 350-nucleotide ribosomal RNA is filed under the name uncultured eukaryote. RNAcentral's name for it is "SSU rRNA". It matches the Rfam family "Eukaryotic small subunit ribosomal RNA", at positions 567 to 936 of the family's 1831-position model. The record is from RNAcentral.
CCAGCAGCUGCGGUAAUUCCAGCUCCAAUAGCGUAUAUUAAAGUUGUUGCAGUUAAAAAGCUCGUAGUUGAACUUUAGGCAAGGCCGGUGGGUCAGUCGCAAGACUGUACUUGCCUUGGCUGCGCCUCACCUUCAGGGAGCCCUCACGCAAGUGUGGGUGAACUGAGCUUUACUUUGAAGAAAUUAGGGUGUUCAAAGCAGGCAGUUGCUUGAAUACAUUAGCAUGGAAUAAUAAAAUAGGACUCUAGUUCUAUUUUGUUGGUUUGAGGACGGGAGUAAUGAUUAAUAGGGAUAGUUGGGGGCAUUAGUAUUCAGUAGUCAGAGGUGAAAUUCUUGGAUUUACUGAAGAC